This 664-nucleotide long non-coding RNA is filed under the name Gallus gallus (chicken). The record is from RNAcentral. Lineage: Eukaryota; Metazoa; Chordata; Aves; Galliformes; Phasianidae.
GCCAAGAUGGUACUAAACCAGGUGCGUUGGGUACAGAUAAUACAAGAGCGGCACCGCUGAUAUUUUUAGCGUAGCAUUUAGGGGCCGAAGUCAUGAUUGGGAUCCCGCUGUGCUAGGCAUUGAUAGGUACUGUUGGUGACCCUGAACGGUGAAAGUGAACAUUCUGCCACUUCCCGUCACGACGGUGCCAGACCCGCGUUUCCUCUGACUGCAUUGUCUUUGGCAUCCCAGUUCCAUCCAUGUACUGCGUGAGCCGUAUAUAUGCAAUGCAAGCAGCAUCAUCACCCACAAGGUGGACGUGAGGAUUGAGGAUAAUGGUGUGGAUUGGCUUAUUACUUUUGGAUAAAGCAUUUUCAAAGUAAAACCGAUGGAAGUCCAUCCCUUCUACUAGAUUACCCAAAGCUUCAGGUUCAAAGGAUGUAAGGCCUGGAUCACAGAUUUUCGUGUAAGCUUCAAAGUCCCCAUUGUUGAUAGCUUCAAUCAACUGCUCAGUAACCUUGAUAAUCUCCUGCUUACGAGCUUUCACAUCUUCAUCUUCAAUGGUUGUAUUGGAACUCUCUGUGGACUCCUUAUUUCCAUCAGGGUUGUGGAUAACUGUAGUUUGGGGCUCCAGCGCAGGGGUAGGAAUAUUUUCCUUGGGGCUGGUUACCACGUUCGUUUUGUU